UGUAAGCGUAUACCAAAGUUGUUGCAGUUAAAACGCUCGUAGUCGGAAUUUGGCAGUUCCGGAAGUGUGCACGUCGUGUGCGCACUUUGCGGGGACUGCUUUUGUGGUCUUGCGUAGGAUGAGGCACUUUCAUUAGUGAACGUCCUCACGCAACCACUCUUUACUGUGAGAAAAUCAGAGUGCUCAAAGCAGGCACUUGCCGUGAAUGUAUUAGCAUGGAAUAAUAGAAUAGGACUCGGUUCUAUUUUGUUGGUUUGUUGGGACUGAGUAAUGAUUAAGAGGGACAGUUGGGGGCAUUUGUAUUCCGGCGCUAGAGGUGAAAUUCUUAGAUUGCCGGAAGACAAACUGCUGCGAAAGCGUCUGCCAAGGAUGUUUUCAUUGA
This 382-nucleotide ribosomal RNA is filed under the name uncultured eukaryote. RNAcentral describes it as "partial 18S ribosomal RNA". It matches the Rfam family "Eukaryotic small subunit ribosomal RNA", at positions 592 to 976 of the family's 1831-position model. The record is from RNAcentral.